UUCUCUAGCACUAGGCCUUGAAAAUGGAGAUACUGCUACUAGUGCAAUUGAACAUACGAUUUCAUACAUUAGAACAUUGUAUGCCUUUACAAAUGAUACUCUUGCUAAGUAUUCUUAUGCAACCUCACUUCAAGCUACACUAAGGUUCCUGAUUUCGAAUGGAAAGGCUAAUGGUGGAGAAAUUAUUACAACUUUGUUUGUUGUAAUUUUG
Long non-coding RNA from Zingiber officinale, 211 nucleotides. RefSeq lists it as uncharacterized. NCBI's taxonomy places the organism in Eukaryota, Viridiplantae, Streptophyta, Magnoliopsida, Zingiberales, Zingiberaceae. The transcript has 3 exons. The record is from RefSeq and is a predicted model, not a curated record.